This 920-nucleotide ribosomal RNA is filed under the name uncultured archaeon. RNAcentral's name for it is "bacterial SSU rRNA". It matches the Rfam family "Archaeal small subunit ribosomal RNA", at positions 1 to 922 of the family's 1478-position model. The record is from RNAcentral.
UUCCGGUUGAUCCUGCCGGAGGCCAUUGCUAUUGGAGUCCGAUUUAGCCAUGCUAGUCGCACGGGUUCAGACCCGUGGCGAAUAGCUCCGUAACACGUGGCCAAACUACCCUAUGGAUCGGAAUAACCUCGGGAAACUGAGGCUAAUACCGAAUACCGCUCUCAUCCUGGAACUGGAGAGAGCACCAAACGCUCCGGCGCCAUAGGAUGUGGCUGCGGCCGAUUAGGUAGACGGUGGGGUAACGGCCCACCGUGCCGAUAAUCGGUACGGGUUGUGAGAGCAAGAGCCCGGAGACGGUAUCUGAGACAAGAUACCGGGCCCUACGGGGCGCAGCAGGCGCGAAACCUUUACACUGCACGAACGUGCGAUAAGGGGACUCCAAGUGCGAGGGCAUACAGUCCUCGCUUUUCUGUACCGUAAGGUGGUACAGGAAUAAGAGCUGGGCAAGACCGGUGCCAGCCGCCGCGGUAAUACCGGCAGCUCGAGUGAUGGCCAAUAUUAUUGGGCCUAAAGCGUCCGUAGCUGGCCGAACAGGUCCGUCGGGAAAUCCGCUCGCUCAACGAGCGGACGUCCGGCGGAAACCAGUCGGCUUGGGACCGGAAGACCCGAGGGGUACGGCCGGGGUAGGAGUGAAAUCCUGUAAUCCUGGCCGGACCACCGGUGGCGAAAGCGCCUCGGGAAGACGGAUCCGACAGUGAGGGACGAAAGCUAGGGUCACGAACCGGAUUAGAUACCCGGGUAGUCCUAGCUGUAAACGAUGCUCGCUAGGUGUGGCACUGGCUACGAGCCAGUGCUGUGCCGUAGGGAAGCCGAGAAGCGAGCCGCCUGGGAAGUACGUCCGCAAGGAUGAAACUUAAAGGAAUUGGCGGGGGAGCACUACAACCGGAGGAGCCUGCGGUUUAAUUGGAGUCAACGCCGGG